GGACAACGCGCGGUCCGGACAGCGGAGGUGCGAAUAACAACAUAUUGCGCAUUGUCCUGCCGCUUUUAGGAAUUCUUCUUUUUGCCGGAAUAUUUACCAUCAUAAUUUGCUGUUAUAUGGCCUAUCGUCGGCGUGCAAAAAAGAAAGAAAUGGAUCUAAAGGAACUAAAGAUGUUUGAGGAAGCGUUUUUAAAGAUGGUUGCAGUGAAGAAGCCAGGCUAGUGCUGCCGCUUGCGGGACACCUUGCCAUUGUGGCAG
Molecule: long non-coding RNA, 257 nt
Organism: Bufo bufo (common toad)
Lineage: Eukaryota; Metazoa; Chordata; Amphibia; Anura; Bufonidae
Exons: 4
Source: RefSeq, a predicted model, not a curated record